Long non-coding RNA from Ochotona princeps (American pika), 363 nucleotides. RefSeq lists it as uncharacterized. The record is from RefSeq and is a predicted model, not a curated record. The transcript is spliced from 3 exons. Lineage: Eukaryota; Metazoa; Chordata; Mammalia; Lagomorpha; Ochotonidae.
CCAUCCUGACUCCAAGGACAGCCCUGUAGGCUUCCCAGGGCCCAGCCGCUUUGGGCCAGGCGCCCUGCACCUUCCCGUCCCGCCCUCCAGAGGGCGCCUUGGAGUCAGCCGCCUCCCUCUCCGCCGCCUCCACCCUGCAGGCCGGCCGAGCACGCCCUGAGAGAAAAAAACUCUGAGGGGGUACCUGCUCGCCCUGGAGAAGGCUGUAAGAGGGAAUGAGAGAGGUCCACCAAGAUGGAAGCCAGAUUCUCUUUGUAAGAUUUGCCUCAUCUGAGCACUGGUAUUUCUACACUAUGGAUAUCCUGUACUUAGCAAGAGAUGUUACAUAGCAUGACUUCCUCAGUUGGAGAAAAUCUCUUUGAC